UCCUCUAGAGAUUAGAGUUUGAUCAUGGCUCAGAUUGAACGCUGGCGGCACGCCUAACACAUGCAAGUCGAGCGGCAGCAUGCUUAGUAGCAAUACUAAGUGAUGGCGAGCGGCGGACGGGUGAGGAACACGUAGGAACCUGCCCAAGAGAGGGGGACAACCAAUGGAAACGUUGGCUAAUACCGCAUAAUCUCUUAGGAGAAAAGUUGCCCGUAAGGGUAGCGCUUUUGGAGGGGCCUGCGUCCGAUUAGCUAGUUGGUGAGGUAAUAGCUCACCAAGGCGAUGAUCGGUAACUGGUCUGAGAGGACGACCAGUCACACUGGGACUGAGACACGGCCCAGACUCCUACGGGAGGCAGCAGUGGGGAAUCUUGGACAAUGGGGGCAACCCUGAUCCAGCGAUGCCGCGUGGGUGAAGAAGGCCUUCGGGUUGUAAAGCCCUUUAGGCUGGGACGAAGGGUAUGGGACGAAUAAUCCUGUACUUUGACGGUACCAGCAGAAUAAGCACCGGCAAACUCUGUGCCAGCAGCCGCGGUAAUACAGAGGGUGCGAGCGUUAAUCGGAUUUACUGGGCGUAAAGGGCGCGUAGGCGGUGAUGUGAGUGUGAUGUGAAAGCCCCGGGCUUAACCUGGGAAGUGCAUCGCAAACGACAUGACUGGAGUAGAUGAG
This 668-nucleotide ribosomal RNA is filed under the name uncultured bacterium. RNAcentral's name for it is "bacterial SSU rRNA". It matches the Rfam family "Bacterial small subunit ribosomal RNA", at positions 1 to 654 of the family's 1533-position model. The record is from RNAcentral.